AAUUUCAUGUCUUUUGUAUUAAAGAAUUAAAUGGAUGAAAUAUGAAAUUUUAUUAAAAGAAAAAGGGGUGAAAAGAACAAAGUUUUGUCCAUCUUUGUUCAUCAUAGCCUAAAGUUAGAGAAGAGAAAGGAGAGGAGAAAGCUCUUGAAUGUUAAGUCACUUGGGGAAGAAAAUUGAAGGCAGUUCGUGUGUGGAUCUCGUCAGCAUAUCGUCGCAAACAGGUGUGUAACUAACACCCUCUUUCUUAGUCUAGAUCGGCAAAAGUCAAAAAUUCGAAAUGCUAAAAAUCGGUAUUUUGUAGAUUUGCGAGUUUGCGAAUGCUCGUGAGGUAAAUCUAUUAAUGUUUUUGGUAAGCUGCAAUGUUUGGACUGCAAAGUGCAUUAUUUCUGCGCCCUCGAUAUUUUUGGGCUUAAUGGGCCAAAAUUAGAAUGAUGGGCCAACGGGCCCAAUUCGGUAAGAACCCUCGGUACGUGAUUCUGUAGUACGUGAAAGGUAGGAAUAUGCAUGAAAAACCCUAAAAUAGAUAAAUUAUUGAAAUACCUUUAAAAGUAGAAAAUUUACAAUUUUACCCCUAGGAGGUAAAUUACCGAAAUACCCCUAGGGUUAAAUUGACUUAAAUGCAUGUUUGACUGUUGUUAUUUACUGCAUGCCAUGUUUUUAUUAUCUGAUGCAUGGGAUUGGGAUAUUGACGGAGGAAGUACUGAAAGUGGCUUGUCCACGUACUGGAGGCUUUGCCUCAAUUUACUGUUAACUGAGCAGCAAUGCUGCAAUUGUGGAGUGUUGGGCUGGGUGGGUUGAGCUAUCCCCACAUGGAGUGUAUGGCUGGUACGGGUGGAGUGUAGUGGUUGGUGGGUUGAGUAGUCUCCCCAAAUGGGCUUGCAUAUGUUAUUGAUGUUGCAUGUAUUUUGAAAUGGACCUAUGGGCCAUAUUGUUAUCUAAAUAAGGGGCUAAGGCCCAGUUUAUUGUAAUCUGAAAAGGGCUCUGGCCCAGUACCACUGUUACCUGAAUGGGCUUAGGCCCAAUGGGCUGGAGUUGACUUGGGCUUUGAAUGAGUUUUCCUUACACACUGAGUUUCCCCAAACUCACCCCUUUUAUUUUCAUCCACGCAGGAAAUCCCCAACCAUAGUGGGCUUGGAGCUGUGAGGGAAUUCGGAGUGGCCACCCGUUCUAAAAGUUUGAUUUUCUUCUGGUGAACUGGACACCCUUUUAUUUACGUUUGAAGUUUUGGGUUUUUAAAUGUAAUAAGGCCGCUUAAUUAUUUUUGAUGGUUUUAAUAUAUAUUACUAAGAUAGGUAUUACUUAUUUUAACUGUUGAAAUUGGAUAGCUUUAGGGCACGUUUUCAAAAACAACAAUUGAUUUCAAAAUAACACGACAACAAGCAAAGCUUCCGCAAUGAAAGUAUUUUCCAAAAUUAAUCACUUUUCCUAAAAAUGACUUAAUCAAAUCAGUUUCCUAGAAAUAUCCAUGACGUUAAGGUGUGGCAAUGGCAGUAUGCAUGUCUAGGAUUGGAUCCGAAGGGAGCUUGGUACUUAAGUAGUCCGAUGGACUCACCACCUCUUUUCCGGUUUCCUACCUGGUGCAUAUCUUCCAUUCACUUUAACCUAUAAUGAAAUUAUCUUUUAAAACACUAAGUUUUUCUGGAUCAACAAUAUAAAAUAUUUUGAAUGCUUCGAUGUGGCAUAUCGGAUCUGGUCAUAACAUCUGGGCCGGGUUUGGGGUGUUACAUUUAGUGGUAUCAGAGCCUAGAUUGCAACAACUCGGUUAUGGAAUGGGUUUACAAAAACAAAGGUUUUUGAAAGCGAAAAUUUUAUAAAGAAUGCGAAAAAAACUCGAUUUUCAAAAUUUAGAUCUUUAGAAGGUGGCAUUCCGAAUCUCCAGCUCAAGUCUUUAAGUAUUCUAAAUUUUUCUGAAUAUUUUCCUCAAUUAUCUGUCUGUACUAAAACCCUACUAGGACACUCUAGAUAGGAUGAUACUGAAACCAUAGGAAAAUCUGAUAAGAGAUUGAAACUGUAGCUAGACUUCGAUUCUGCUAAAACAAACUUUAAAUUACUAUCUGAUUCAUAAAACAUCUAUAAUAAACACUGGAAUAUUGAAUUAAUGCAUAAAAAUUCGUAAUCAAGAUAAUACGAUAUGAGUACAAGAGCCGUUCGUGGAAGAGGCCGUGGACGGGGCCGAGGAAGUGCUCGAGUGAGAUCUUUGUCUUCGGGACAUAUGCCGGCGGUGGAUGCAUCGGUACCAUCGGCAACAAAGGUAGAGUCACAUGACUGCGGUGCCGGGGAUGAUGCCCUGUCACAAGCAAUGCUUCGUGUUUUGGAAAGGGUUAUUGGGGCAAGUACAGGCAAUAGAGUUCGGGGAUCUAUUUCUAAAUGACUUCGGGCUAACGGAGCAGAGAUCUUUAGGGGCGUGUCUGGUAUAGCCCCGAAUGUGGCGGAAUAUUGGUUGGAGGCCACAGAACGGAUUAUGGACAACUUGGACUGCUAUGAGAAGAUUGUGAGUGGGGUAUUUGUACUAAGUCCUUUGGGUCACUCGGUUAGGGUAAACAAACUGUAUAGGGAUGUACCCUUAGAAACUCAAGGUAGAAUUUUCCCUGAAGAUCUGAUGGGGUUACCGUUCGGAGAGUUUGAUCUCAUUUUGGGAAUGGACUCGCUUGUUAAGCAUAAGGCGACCCUGGAUUGUGCUGCUAAACGAAUGGUGUUAAGGACCACAAAGGAUGAGGAGGUUAUAGUGAUAGGUGAGCGAAGGGAUUAUUUGUCCAAUAUGGUGUCGGCUUUAAGAGUCGAAAAGUGGAUUCGGAAAGGUUGUGAGGCCUAUUUGGCAUUUGUAAGUCAGUCGGAAGAGAAGGGACUGACAAUGGAUAAGGUUAGGACCGUAAAGGAGUUCCAAGAUGUUUUUCUGGAGGAGCUUCCAAGAUUGCCUCCGAACCGAGGAGUUGAGUUUGGAAUAGAUUUGUUACCUGGAACGGCGCCUGUGUCCAUCACACUGUAUAGGAUGGCACCGAAGGAGUUAGUGGAGUUAAAGGCUCAAAUUCAAGAGUUGUUGGAUAGGGGCUUCAUUAGGUCAAGCGUGUCUCCAUGGGGAGCACCGGUGCUAUUCGUGAAAAAGAAGGAUGGUACGAUGCAGAUGUGCAUUGAUUAUCGCCAGUUGAACAAACUAACGAUUAAGAAUAAGUAUCCACUGCCAAGGAUUGAUGAUCUAUUUAACCAACUUAGAGGGGCUUCUGUAUUUUCUAAGAUCGACCUCCGAUUUGGAUAUCAUCAGUUAAGGGUCAAGGAGGCGGAUAUCCAUAAGACGGCAUUCAGGACUCGGUAUGGUCAUUACGAGUUUUUGGUUAUGCCAUUUGGACUGACGAACGCUCCUGCAGCAUUUAUGGAUCUGAUGAAUCGGGUGUUCCAACCAUUCUUGGAUCGAUUCGUAGUCGUCUUCAUUGAUGAUAUCCUGGUAUAUUCUGAAACUGAAGCGAAACAUGAUGAGCAUCUUCGUAUAGUGCUGCGAGUGUUAAGGGAGAAGGAACUCUUUGCGAAGUUCAGCAAGUCUGAACUUUGGUUGAGGGAGGUAACCUUCUUAGGACAUGAGGUCUCUGCUGAAGGGAUUAAGGUGGACCCUCAAAAGAUUGAAGCAAUUUUGGAGUGGAAGCCACCUAGGACGGUUUCAGAAAUUCGAAGUUUCCUAGGGUUGGCAGGAUACUACAGAAGGUUUGUGGAAGGUUUUUCUGUUAUGGCAGCACCCCUGACAAAACUCAUAAGGAAAAGAGAACCGUUUGUAUGGACUGAGAAGCAGCAGGGAGCUUUUGAGAAGUUGAAGAAAGUUUUGACGAAAGCACCAGUGUUAAUUCAGCCAGAGUCUGGGAAGGAUUUUUCUGUGUACAGUGACGCAUCAAACGUGGGUUUGGGCUGCGUGUUAAUGCAGGAGGGUAAGGUGGUUCCAUAUGCAUCACGACAGCUUAAACCUCACGAAGGGAACUAUCCUACUCAUGAUUUGGAGUUGGCGGCAGUGAUAUUUGCACUUAAGAUUUGGAGACAUUACUUGUACGGGGAUAGGUGUAUUAUAUACACAGACCACAAGAGUCUUAAGUAUUUGUUGACUCAGAAGGAGCUGAACCUUAGGCAAAGGAGAUGGAUUGAGUUGCUUAAGGAUUAUGAUUGUUCGAUCGAGUAUCACUCAGGCAAGGCUAAUGUGGUAGCCGAUGCUUUAAGUCGUAGAACCGUAUCUGAUCUGAGAGCAAUGUUUGCUCGUCUGAGUCUGUAUGAUGAUAGAAGUUUGUUGGCUGAGUUGCAAGUGAGGCCAACCUGGGUGGAUCAGAUUAAGGAAAAGCAGUUGAACGAUGAGUCUUUGGUCGCUCAUUUUCAACAAGUUAAGGAAGGGGAAACAUCUGAGUUUGGGUUAAAUGGCGAAGGAGUUUUGUGUUUCCGAGGAAGAAUUUGUAUUCCGAAGGACUCUGAUAUGAGGUAGACAAUAUUGAAGGAAGCUCAUGGAGGACUUUGUGCCAUGCACCUCGGAGGGAACAAGUUGUAUCAUGACUUACAAGAAUUGUACUGGUGGCUUGGACUUAAACGAGAAGUAACGGAGUUUGUAGGGAAAUGUCUGACAUGCCAACAAGUGAAAGCUGAGCAUCAAUUACCUUCUGGACUGUUACAGCCGGUGAAGAUACCACUUUGGAAGUGGGAGAGGGUAACCAUGGACUUUGUGAGUGGGUUGCCUUUGACACCAUCAAAGAAAGACUCGGUGUGGGUGAUUGUGGAUAGGUUGACCAAAUCAGCCCAUUUCAUACCUGUACGUACUGACUUUUCGCUUCAAAAGUUAGCCAAGCUGUAUGUGGCGGAGAUUGUACGACUUCAUGGAGUCCCAAUUUCGAUUGUCUCUGACCGGGAUCCCAGGUUUACAUCUCGGUUUUGGCAAAGGUUGCAUGAGGCGUUGGGGACGCGAUUGAAUUUUAGUACGACUUUCCAUCCCCAGACUGAUGGUCAAUUAGAAAGGGUUAUUCAGAUUCUGGAGGACAUGUUGAGGGGAUGCAUGAUUGACUUUCGAGGUAGUUGGGAGGAUUACUUGCCGUUGGCAAAAUUUGCGUACAAUAACAGUUACUAGGCGAGUAUUCGAAUGGCACCGUAUGAAGCACUGUAUGGACGAAGGUGUCGUACACCUAGUUGUUGGACCGAACUAGGAGAGCAACAAGUUCUUAGACCAGAGUUGGUAGCUGAUACUGAGGAUAAGGUCAGAAUAAUUAGGGACCGGUUAAAAGAAGCAUCUGAUAGGCAAAAGUCAUAUGCAGAUUUGAAGCGUAAGGAGAUUGAGUACUCAGUAGGUGAUAUGGUCUUCUUAAAGGUUUCUCCUUGGAAGAAGAUAUUAAGGUUUGGUAAGAAGGGCAAGUUGAGUCCGCGGUUCAUUGGGCCUUAUUGGGUUUUGAAGUGAGUAGGCCCAGUGGCUUAUCAGUUGGAAUUGCCUCCAGAGUUAGAAAGGAUUCACGAUGUUUUUCACGUCUCCAUGUUAAGGCGUUAUCGUUCUGACCCUGCUCAUGUCCUGCCAGUUGCAGAAAUUAAAGUUCAGACUGAUUUGACCUUUGAGGAGGAGCCUGUGCAAAUAUUGGCUCGAGAUGUUAAGGUUCUCAGAAGGAACUUUGUCCCGUUAGUGAAAGUACUUUGGCAUAAUCAUGGAAGGGAAUAAGCUACUUGGGAAUCAGAAGAGACUAUGCGUCAACAAUACCCUUAACUAGUUGGAUCAUGUAAAUUUCGAGGACGAAAUUUCUUUAAGGAGGGUAGAGUUGCAACGCCCCAAUUUUUGGGAAUUCUGUGAAUGUUGGCAUAGGUUUAAUUAUGUUAGUGGGCCUCUAGAAGGCCCAAGCUUAAGAUAGAACCCGAUAAUUUUAGUUAAUUUUUGUUCCAUAAGAAAAAGGGGGUGAAAUUAUGAAAUAGGACCUAUGUGAAAAUGUUUGAAAAUGCUAUAGGCUAAAUUGAAGUGGCCAAAUAAAUAGGAGUGCAAAAUAGGAGGAUUUGCAUGACAAACCUCCCAUUUUACAUGAAGUGGCCAGCCAUCAUGUUGUUGUAGACAAUAUGAGCACUUGAUAUCCAUAAUUUGUGGUACAAAUUGAUACAAAUUGAUAAUGGGUUAGGUAAAUGUUCCAUGAUAAUGGAUUAGGUAAUUAUUCCGUAAUAAUGGGUUAGGUAAAUGUUCCAUGAUAAUGGUUUAGGUAAAUGCUCUAUGAUGGGAAUUUCAUGUCUUUUGUAUUAAAGAAAUAAAUGGAUGAAAUAUGAAAUUUUAUUAAAAGAAAAAGGGGUGAAAAGAACAAAGUUUUGUCCAUCUUUGGUCAUCAUAGCCUAAAGUUAGAGAAGAGAAAGGAGAGGAGAAAGCUCUUAAAUGUUCGGUCACUUGGGGAAGAAAAUUGAAGGCAGUUCGUGUGUGGAUCUCGUCAACAUAUCGUCGUAAAUAAGUGUGUAACUAACACCCUCUUUCUUAGUCUAGAUCGGCAAAAGUCGAAAAUUCAAAAUGCUGAAAACCGGUAUUUUGUAGAUUUGCGAGUGUGCGAAUGCUCGUGACGUAAAUCUAUUAAUGUUUUUGGUAAGCUGUAAUGUUUAGACUGCAAAGUGCAUGAUUUCUGUGCCCUCGAUAUUUUUGGGCUUAAUGGGCCAAAAUUGGAAUGAUGUGCCAACGGGCCCAAUUUGGUAAGAACCCUCGGUACGUGAUUCUGUAGUACGUGAAAGGUAGGAAUAUGCAUGAAAAACCCUAAAAUAGAUAAAUUACUAAAAUACCUUUAAAAGUGGAAAAUUUACAGUUUUACCCCUAGGAGAUAAAUUAUCGAAAUACCCCUAGGGUUAAAUUGACUUAAAUGCAUGUUUGAAUGUUGUUAUUUACUGCAUGCCAUGUUGUUAUGAUCUGAUGCAUGAGAUUGGGAUAUUGACGGAGGAAGUACUGAAAGUGGCUUGUCCACGUACUGGAGGCUUUGCCUCAAUUUAUUGUUAACUGAGCAGCAAUGCUGCAACUGUGGAGUGUUGGGCUGGGUGGGUUGAGCUAUCCCCACAUAGAGUGUAUGGCUGGUACGGGUGGAGGGUAGUGGUUGGUGGGUUAAGUAGUCUCCCCAAAUGGGCUUGCAUAUGUUAUUGAUGUUGCAUGUAUUUUGAAAUGGGCCUAUGGGCCAUAUUGUUAUCUGAAUAAGGGGCUAAGGCCCAAUUUAUUGUAAUCUGAAAAUGGCUCUGGCCCAGUACCACUGUUACCUAAAUGGGCUUAGGCCCAAUGGGCUAAAGCUGACUUGGGCUUUGAAUGGGUUUUCCUUACACAUUGAGUUUCCCCAAACUCACCCCUUUUAUUUUCAUCCACGCAGGAAAUCCCCAACCAUAGUGGGCUUGGAGCUGUGAGGGAAUUCAAAGUGGCCACCCGUUCUGAAAGUUUGAUUUUCUUCUGGUGAACUGGACAUCCUUUUAUUUACGUUUGAAGUUUUGGGUUUUUAAAUGUAAUUAGGCCGCUUAAUUAUUUUUGAUGGUUUUAAUAUGUAUUACUAAGAUAGGUAUUACUUAUUUUAACUGUUGAAAUUGGAUAGCUUUAGGCCGC
RNAcentral lists this long non-coding RNA (7537 nucleotides) under Gossypium barbadense (sea-island cotton). RNAcentral's name for it is "long non-coding RNA (GBAR_LNC007487)". Lineage: Eukaryota; Viridiplantae; Streptophyta; Magnoliopsida; Malvales; Malvaceae. The record is from RNAcentral.